RNAcentral lists this ribosomal RNA (301 nucleotides) under uncultured bacterium. Its description in RNAcentral is "partial 16S ribosomal RNA". It matches the Rfam family "Bacterial small subunit ribosomal RNA", at positions 509 to 807 of the family's 1533-position model. The record is from RNAcentral.
CAGCCGCCGCGGUAAUACGAAGGGGGCUAGCGUUGCUCGGAAUUACUGGGCGUAAAGGGAGCGUAGGCGGAUCUUUUAGUCAGGGGUGAAAUCCCGGGGCUCAACCUCGGAACUGCCUUUGAUACUGGCGAUCUUGAGUAUGGGAGAGGUGUGUGGAACUCCGAGUGUAGAGGUGAAAUUCGUAGAUAUUCGGAAGAACACCAGUGGCGAAGGCGACACACUGGCCCAUUACUGACGCUGAGGCUCGAAAGCGUGGGGAGCAAACAGGAUUAGAUACCCGCGUAGUCCCUGUCUCUUAUAC